GCUGUGUUUCUGGUAUGCAGAAAUUCGGAUUAUAUUGAUCGGGACAGUGGCGCGUGCCUGGAAUGACAGCUUGCUCAUGAGCUCGUUGGCGCUGACAUCGAACUCGCUCGACGCGUUCCCUCCGCCGCCGCCGCCGCUCGGGCCCUCACCAUUGUCGUAGAAAUCAGCCGACGAAAUUGCCGUCGCGCCCUGGAACCGGCUCAGCCGCGCCUGCGCAAUUUCAGGAUACACUCUCAGGGCCCCUGAAUCGCUGACACACCUGUCUAAAAGCAGCGUUGUUCAUGCGCAUGCGAUGCAACUGCUGGAAGGGGCAUUGUGGUGUUCAUCACAUUGUUAUUUGUGCCAUUUGAUGCCAGAAAGAACCACAAGUGGUAUACAAUCAUAGAAAUCUAAAGCUUGUGGCUGCAUCCCAUGGUGUGGCAUCUGGACAUGAUCCUUCCACUGCUGAGUUUACGACAGCAGACUCCAAAGACACAUGAGGAACGCCCCCAGGCUUUGGGUAGCCACAGCGCAGACUUUGCAGGCCGUACCUCCUAACAGUGCUGUACCCUCCAUCUUGUGAGGGUGCUGUCAGCAGCCAGGCCAAAAGAGGCACCACUCCAGAUGUCAAAUCCAGAUGCCAGUUUUUGGGUGUCAGCUGGGAAGUGACCCAGAAAGUCAAAAGAAAAGCCGCACCUCCUUUUCGUAGUUGUUGCCAGAGCUGUUCUCGUCGGAGUUGAAUUGCGAGCUGGAAAUGCUCUUCGCGUUGCCGAAACGCCGCCGCGCCGCGUCAGCUUCCUCUGCGGCCGGGGCCGCCUGUUUCGCGGCAUUCCCUCUUCCGCCCACAGACCUGAAUAUUUUUAUGCAUAUAAUCAGAUCCGAGAUCCGACAUAAGUUUGCUUGUGCUCGGAAAAAGAGACAGAUGAAUAGAGCUGAUUCCCCAUCCAGCACAGGAACUCAACGCAACGAUCUGCUGCCGAUGUGAAUGAGAGCUCAGGCACUGGACUGCCCUUGCUUCGUGGCAAGCAAUUGUUUCUCCGACCAAGUCGUGGAGGAGUGUCUCACAUGACACUUUGACAUGUCUGACAGCCUAGAAUUGCUCGCCAUGCUUGUGAGGGUAGGAAACACAAAACGACAGAGUAGGAAGAACGGGUGGGACCCAGAGUGAGUGAACACCCCUCCCCUGACAGAAUCAUUUUUGCGUACACACGCAAACUUGUCCCAUCAUGAUGCAGCCACUGGCACACACUACCAGGGACGUCACAUGCAACAGAGAUUCAGGACCUGCGCACUUGACCUCGGUUCUCUCUGAUGCAGCACCUAGCAUGCUCUACCGAGGACAUUCCAACGGAAGUGGCAGGGCCGCUCGCUCUGCGAGGGAGCCUAUUCUUUGGGAGACCGCUCCUUCACAGGCGAUGAGCAAAACAUCGGCAUAGCAUCCAUGCUAAUGCGUGCUGUAAUAGGGUGCCCCAUCUAGAGGUUAUCUUGUUACUGAUGACCAGAGAAGUACAUUGCAACAGGAGAUGAGUGAGGCUGCUCACUUUGCGAGGGAGCCCUUGGCGGAGAGCGGAGACGCGAAGAAGUCAUCGGCGGCCGACAGCUGCACGUGGCCGUCCUUGCCGCGCUUGACGCCGGUCGCCUUGGCCGCCUCGUCAGCGUUGGCCAGCACGUCAUACGCGAAGCGCGAGGCCACCUUGGAAUCGUUGGCUACCA
This 1692-nucleotide long non-coding RNA is filed under the name Coccomyxa subellipsoidea. Its description in RNAcentral is "long non-coding RNA (CSUB_LNC000134)". Lineage: Eukaryota; Viridiplantae; Chlorophyta; Trebouxiophyceae; Coccomyxaceae. The record is from RNAcentral.